GCUGCGAUGGGACAAUCUGGUACUCCACCGGCCUUGAGAGCCGGCUUGCUUUGCAUAUCCCGGUUCAAAUCCGGGUCGCAGCG
Molecule: transfer RNA, 83 nt
Filed under: Candidatus Woesearchaeota archaeon
Lineage: Archaea; Nanobdellati; Candidatus Woesearchaeota
Description: tRNA-Ser
Rfam family: tRNA
About the family: Transfer RNA (tRNA) molecules are approximately 80 nucleotides in length. Their secondary structure includes four short double-helical elements and three loops (D, anti-codon, and T loops). Further hydrogen bonds mediate the characteristic L-shaped molecular structure. tRNAs have two regions of fundamental functional importance: the anti-codon, which is responsible for specific mRNA codon recognition, and the 3' end, to which the tRNAs corresponding amino acid is attached (by aminoacyl-tRNA synthetases). tRNAs cope with the degeneracy of the genetic code in two manners: having more than one tRNA (with a specific anti-codon) for a particular amino acid; and 'wobble' base-pairing, i.e. permitting non-standard base-pairing at the 3rd anti-codon position.
Source: RNAcentral